UACGUAGGGCGCAAGCGUUGUCCGGAAUUAUUGGGCGUAAAGAGCUCGUAGGCGGCUUGUCACGUCGGAUGUGAAAGCCCGGGGCUUAACCCCGGGUCUGCAUUCGAUACGGGCAGGCUAGAGUUCGGUAGGGGAGAUCGGAAUUCCUGGUGUAGCGGUGAAAUGCGCAGAUAUCAGGAGGAACACCGAUGGCGAAGGCAGAUCUCUGGGCCGUAACUGACGCUGAGGAGCGAAAGCAUGGGGAGCGAACAGG
RNAcentral lists this ribosomal RNA (253 nucleotides) under uncultured bacterium. RNAcentral's name for it is "partial 16S ribosomal RNA". It matches the Rfam family "Bacterial small subunit ribosomal RNA", at positions 524 to 776 of the family's 1533-position model. The record is from RNAcentral.